Molecule: ribosomal RNA, 484 nt
Filed under: uncultured bacterium
Lineage: Bacteria
Description: partial 16S ribosomal RNA
Rfam family: Bacterial small subunit ribosomal RNA
Source: RNAcentral
AUUGAACGCUGGCGGCAGGCCUAACACAUGCAAGUCGAGCGGAUGAAGGGAGCUUGCUCCUGGAUUCAGCGGCGGACGGGUGAGUAAUGCCUAGGAAUCUGCCUGGUAGUGGGGGAUAACGUCCGGAAACGGGCGCUGAUACCGCAUACGUCCUGAGGGAGAAAGUGGGGGAUCUUCGGACCUCACGCUAUCAGAUGAGCCUAGGUCGGAUUAGCUAGUUGGUGGGGUAAAGGCCUACCAAGGCGACGAUCCGUAACUGGUCUGAGAGGAUGAUCAGUCACACUGGAACUGAGACACGGUCCAGACUCCUACGGGAGGCAGCAGUGGGGAAUAUUGGACAAAGGGCGAAAGCCUGAUCCAGCCAUGCCGCGUGUGUGAAGAAGGUCUUCGGAUUGUAAAGCACUUUAAGUUGGGAGGAAGGGCAGUAAGUUAAUACCUUGCUGUUUUGACGUUACCAACAGAAUAAGCACCGGCUAACUUCGUG